Molecule: long non-coding RNA, 4913 nt
Filed under: Triticum aestivum (bread wheat)
Lineage: Eukaryota; Viridiplantae; Streptophyta; Magnoliopsida; Poales; Poaceae
Description: long non-coding RNA (TAES_LNC027170)
Rfam family: MIR1120/MIR1122 microRNA precursor family (bases 3951-4065)
Source: RNAcentral
UCCACAAUUUCAAAUAUGAUUUCUUUUGUUCGUUUUUUACUAAGUACAAAUGAACAAUUUUGCUCUUUCAUGUGCCACAGAUGUACCCGGAGGUGAAGGGGAAAUUUGCGGCAGCCAAAAAAUAUUUAAUAAGGUAAAAAAAGUCUGAGAGGUUGUCAAUAGCAUGUGGUUGUAUGUAUAGUUCUCUGAAUGAACGACUAAAGAAUAUUUUGUUUGCUGCUAUUGCUCCCAGUUAUUACUGAUUUGGUCUGGAAUGAAGAGAACAACGGGGAAGGAGUAAUUGGUAUAUUGGGGUUUCAGAGUGUAUUGCUAAAGCUAUUCUGGUGGGGAAACUGACCGGAAUUAGUGAAAAGUUUUGUCAGGUAAUAUUCAUUUUUCUACUUUCUAGAUUAUAUUUCACCAAUAUGUUCCCCUGCUUUAUUUGGACAUCCAAACAUUCUGCAAAGUCUAAUGUAAUACAGUGCACCAUACCCAACCUCCAUGCCAGCCUUAUUAUUUGCAUCUAUGUAAUGAAUAAGUUGCAGUAUUUAUUUAUCUCAAGGGAAAAUGGCAUUGCAAAGAUUUUUGCUACCUUCUCUCUUGAUCUCAGAAGUACCAUGUAGUAUUGGGCAGCUUCAAAGCUACAAAGUUUUAGUAUAUUUGUGCCACAGAAUAUCGAAAGCCAUACAGUUUUGGUCUGUGUAGUCUCAUAAAGAGAUCCAUUUACGUGUUCAAUGCCUAACACAUUCCGUCUUGUUUGAAUGUUUGUACUAUUCUUAUAACCCAAUGAAAGUUGCAUUUUUCCCAUCAUGUCAGCUAGAAGGGAAAAUUUAUUGGUAGUUUGAAGUUCCACAACAAAAAUGUAUAUAUGCAUGCACAUUCUUCCACCAAGAGAAGAAAAAACUCAGCAUCCAUCUUUCGUACAUGAGUUGAAUGUCUUAUACUGAAACUGAUCACGGUGUCGCAAGUAAAGCCUAAGUUUCAUAAAUUUCAUAAAAGUGUCGCAAGUAAAGAGCUUUUAGUUGAAGUUCACUAAAUUUCUUAUACCGACAUUUCAGGGAUAAUACGAUUGACCCAACUGUUACCGGUGCCAUGCUUUUGGGGUCGACCAAAACAUUUAAAAACGUUAAAUGUGGUUAUGUGAUAAUAACAUAUAAUGUAUUAUUUGUGUUCAUUCCUUUAAUGUGGAUUAUAACAUGAUCUACCUUUGCAUCAACAUCGAAGACUACUUUUGGUUCAUAUUCAUGCAGCCACUUCUCGAUUUUGAGAUUUUUCACAUGUACUGAACUUGUCUUAGUCAGCCCAACUCAGCUGUAUGCGUGACAUUUAUAAAGUGACUCCGUAAAAUUCAUAAAAGACACUAUUCUUUUAUUCUGUUCUUCUGUUUCUUCCAGAUUUUGCUCUCCUCGCUUAUAAUUCGAUACUGUUAUUUCGAUUAGAUGACUCGGUCGAUGAUGUUGGGCAUGUCCAUGGUAUCCAUUAAAAAACUUAAAAAAAGUCUUGCACCGGAAUAAAAUUAGAUAGCACACCACUUAUGAGUCGAAACAUAUGCCAGCCAAGCCGGUACCAUAAAAUUAGUAGAUUAGGUCCAUUCCAGCCACUAAUUCUUUGUGCCAAUGCUAAGUAUGUGAAGUUGCACUGACUUUUAGUUACAUCUGAUGAUCUUUCCACAAAAAAUGUAGUAUAGAGUGUAAUAUUUACAGUGUGGGGAUGUUGGUGGCCAAGAAAGUUUAUGCCCUUGUGGAGACAUUGCUGUGAAGUCCUAAGUUAUCCUGUAAAAAGGAUUCUUAUGAUAAGCAUGUAAAGCAACUUCUGAACUUUUUUGUAGAUAUUUAAGUGCCAAUACCAUCUUUUGGUAUAACACAGAAAAAUCAAGUUUUGAGGCCAGAGAUUUACCUUGCUUUUGCAUGUGCAUUACUUUAGCUAAUCAACCUGCCGUCGAGCUUUUAGUUGAAGUUCACUAAAUUUCUUAUACCGACAUUUCAGGGAUAAUACGACUGACCCAACUGUUACCGGUGCCAUGCUUUUUGGGUCGACCAAAACAUUUAAAAACGUUAAAUGUGGUUAUGUGAUAAUAACAUAUAAUGUAUUAUUUGUGUUCAUUCCUUUAAUGUGGAUUAUAACAUGAUCUACCUUUGCAUCAACAUCGAGGACUACUUUUGGUUCAUAUUCAUGCAGCCACUUCUCGAUAUUGAGAUUUUUCACAUGUACUGAACUUGUCUUAGUCAGCCCAACUCAGCUGUAUGCGUGACAUUUAUAAAGUGACUCCGUAAAAUUCAUAAAAGACACUAUUCUUUCAUUCUGUUCUUCUAUUUCUUCCAGAUUUUGCUCUCCUCGCUUAUAUUUCGAUAUUGUUAAUUCGAUUAGAUGACUCGGUCGAUGAUGUUGGGCAUGUCCAUGGUAUCCAUUAAAAAACUUAAAAAAAUUCUUGCACCGGAAUAAAAUUAGAUAGCACACCACUUAUGAGUCGAAACAUAUGCAAGCCAAGCCAGUACCAUAAAAUUAAUAGAUUAGGUCCAUUCCAGCCGCUAUUCUUUGUGCCAAUCCUAAGUAUGUGAAGUUGCACUGACUUUUAGUUACAUUUGAUGAUCUUUCCACAAAAAAUGUAGUAUAGAGUGUAAUAUUUACAGUGUGGGGAUGUUGGUGGCCAAGAAAGUUUAUGCCCUUGUGGAGCAUUAAUGUGAAGUCCUAAGUUAUCCUGUAAAAAGGAUUCUUAUGAUAAGCAUGUAAAGCAACUUCUGAACUUUUUUGUAGAUAUUUAAGUGCCAAUACCAUCUUUUGGUAUAACACAGAAAAAUCAAGUUUUGAGGCCAGAGAUUUACCUUGCUUUUGCAUGUGCAUUACUUUAGCUAAUCAACCUGCCGUCGAGCUUUUAGUUGAAGUUCACUAAAUUUCUUAUACCGACAUUUCAGGGAUAAUACGACUGACCCAACUGGUACCGGUGCCAUGCUUUUGGGGUCGACCAAAACAUUUAAAAAUGUUAAAUGUGGUUAUGUGAUAAAAUCAAGUAUGAAUGAGGAAGAGAUCAACACCAGCCGCGGCAACAAAGAUGACAGCGUGUCUCAGUGGGCAUGAGCAAUGGCACACUCGUGUCGAGUACCUACCAAGAUGCUUCCCUGGUCAGACUUCGAGCACUUCCUCCUUGCCGACGCCGCCUUGGCUAUUGUUGUUGUCUCCUCGGAUAAGCCGUAUUAGGUUGGUUCCAUUGCACUGCAAAUACUACCACUUCUAUUGGGCAACUAAAUACAACUUGCAAGCACGGGAAAACAUGUACACCAGUGUUGUCGGGCGCGCGGAAGCCAAUUCCUUGGGUCACCCAUUGUUCAUCUGCUGCUCUAACCAGUAAUCAUGCCUUGCUCCCAGUAAAUUUGAGCUCGCAGCCAUUUAGGUAGCUUCUUGUCAUGCUCACAUCUAGCAGCAAGAAAAAUGAGAAGCUGCUGACCAGAGUGUAAUGUCUUAGUGGUAGGGAGACCACCAAGAUAUGAUGCUCUAAUGCAAAAUAUUAUAGGAAUAUCUACUUACUUUAACCACUUUUCAUAUUUGGUAUUUAAUCCAUCUACAUGUACAAACACGAAAUGCAGAUAUUGUUUUGUUGUGGAGAAAUUUUAUGAUGUGCCCAAUUAUGGACCGUACAUUGAUAAUGAUCUAAUGGUUAGGAUGAUGCAUCAUUUGAUAAUUCAAGAAAAGGUCAUGUCUUUACAGAAAUGUUCAAUUCCCCCUCAGUUUGAACUUGUAAGGUGUACUAAUUUUUUAAGAAUUCAAACUUACCUAAUUUUGACCAAGUUUAUAGAAUAAAACAUAAAUAUCUACUAUAGAGAAACAAUAUCAUUAGAUUCAUGAUGAAGUAUAUUUCCAUAUUUGAUUUAUUUAGGGGCUGUUCGAAAAGCCUCCACGCCCUCGCCACGGAGCGGAGGCCAAUCCGCUCCGGAGCGGAGCUGCGGAGUGGGAGUGAGUCCGAACAAGCCUUUAGUAUUGUACUCCCUCCGUUAGGAAUUACUCGUCCAAGAAAUGAAUGUGUCUAGAUGUAUUUUAGUUGUAGAUACAUCCAUUUUUAUGACAAGUAAUUCUGAACGGAGGGAGUAGGUGUUAGAUGUAUUUUGCUACAGAUUUGAUCAAACAUAGGAGACUUUGACUUUUGAAUAUUUAAUUCACCUUAUAUUUUGACAGACAUGGAGUAGUAAUUGCUGGGACCAGAUCCAUGCACCAUCAUCUGAAACCCAUGUAUUCAUGAGGUGUGAUGUUAAUUUUAACAAAUCUUCCCAUGGACAGAACCUCGAUACCAUGAUUCACAUACCAACCCACAUAGAAUUUGUGUAGACUGACAUAUACGCCGGGUUCAUCUUGUGGUAUGUCCCAGAACUUUUCUGAUAACAAUGCUCUUAGUUGGGAUGCCAUCAGGCUCCAAACCAAACCUGGGAGCACUUUACUUACCAAUAAAUUAAGAUAACUUUUGCAUAAGGUUUUGUCGUAGUUCGUUACCAAGAUGGGUAGUACUGUAUAGUUUCCUAGCAGCAACAUUUGGCCAGUUUCUUAGAUUUUAUCUGCAUGAAUAGUAGAUUUGCUCAUUUUGAUUUAUAACAUUGUAAAUGUUCACCUCAGCUGCCAGACUAACAUAAUGGAACAUCGUCAGGUGUAUUUGAAGGUUGCCAGUUCAGGUGGGCCAAACAGCCAGUGCGCUGAGGUCAAAAUAAGCAUGACACCGGUUUUAUUCUUUUAGGGGUCACCUACAUGGUGAAAGAUGCUCGGGCACACAUCAUUGUUGGGUUUUCCCAUGUCAUGUCAUACUUGGUCUGUAACUAAAUCUUGAGAAUUCAUUUGUAUGACUUGAUGUACAAACGUGUUAUUCAUAAUGAAAAUAAUAUCAUUGUAUGUGCUUAAAAUAUUAUGUCAUAAUUCUGUAAAAAAAAAGGUAUCUUUUACUAGAUAAAGAAGUG